AUUGAACGCUGGCGGCAGGCCUAACACAUGCAAGUCGAGCGGAUGAAGGGAGCUUGCUCCUGGAUUCAGCGGCGGACGGGUGAGUAAUGCCUAGGAAUCUGCCUGGUAGUGGGGGAUAACGUCCGGAAACGGGCGCUAAUACCGCAUACGUCCUGAGGGAGAAAGUGGGGGAUCUUCGGACCUCACGCUAUCAGAUGAGCCUAGGUCGGAUUAGCUAGUUGGUGGGGUAAAGGCCUACCAAGGCGACGAUCCGUAACUGGUCUGAGAGGAUGAUCAGUCACACUGGAACUGAGACACGGUCCAGACUCCUACGGGAGGCAGCAGUGGGGAAUAUUGGACAAUGGGCGAAAGCCUGAUCCAGCCAUGCCGCGUGUGUGAAGAGGGUCUUCGGAUUGUAAGGCACUUUAAGUUGGGAGGAAGGGCAGUAAGUUAAUACCUUGCUGUUUUGACGUUACCAACAGAAUAAGCACCGGCUAACUUCGUG
Molecule: ribosomal RNA, 484 nt
Filed under: uncultured bacterium
Lineage: Bacteria
Description: partial 16S ribosomal RNA
Rfam family: Bacterial small subunit ribosomal RNA
Source: RNAcentral